Long non-coding RNA from Equus caballus (horse), 1797 nucleotides. RefSeq lists it as uncharacterized. NCBI's taxonomy places the organism in Eukaryota, Metazoa, Chordata, Mammalia, Perissodactyla, Equidae. The record is from RefSeq and is a predicted model, not a curated record.
CAACCCCUAGGGAGUCUGAUUUCACUGGUCUGAGGCCACGCCUCCUCAUCCACACCGUUUAAAAAGCUUCCCAAGCCAGGCAACAACUGAGCUGAGCGUCUGGACCUGAACCGCCCUGCAGGGAAAGGCAACGGAAGCUCUUGCUAGGGUAGCAACUAUGAGCUCAAAUCCACCGUCCCCCUCCCCGACUUCAGGACUCCAGGUUGUGGUUCGAACCCGCCUUUGGCAGCUCCUUCAAACGGGAACCAGCCCCAUCACUUUGUAACGUUCGGCGUUGGCGCAGGGGUCUGCAGCUUCCGCCUGCCCGAAACUUGGUGCUGGCUGACCCUGAAGGCGGCCCUGUGAGAGGGAGGCAAGAGAGCGAGCUGAUCCGGGCACCGCACAGGCGGAGGCCGAGACUCUGUCAGGAGUGGAGUUGCUUUUUUACUUAUUUGGAACUCAAAUUCUCGCUCCUGUGAGAGGGGAACAACCAUUUUCGAAGAGUAACUAGCAUCUGCAGCCGCUAGAGGGCAGACCUCAGCCUGAGAACGCAGUUUCCUAGGAUACAGGACCGGUCACCUCACUGCAUCUCCCUUUGCGUCCCCAGAAGGCGCUGCUGCCAGCUUAAGAUGCCUAACACCUGAUGGGUCCUGUCGCCAGCUCCACGGCUCCUGGCAGUUGGUUCAUCCCUUGAGCUGGAAGAAGGAAAUAGACUUCUCUUCAGGGUACUACAGCCGAGGAGAACAUGAGCAUUGUGAGUCUCUGGAGAGGCUACUGAAUAACUCUGCGGCGAAGCCCACAGAGCUACUGCAGAGGAUGGAUGUUUCCCUCUGAGCAAAGCAGACACGAUCAUCAAAUCUGCUUUGCCAAGUAUUUAUUUGAAUCUUCAUUUCAAGGCUGAGGAAUCAGUAAUUCACCAGAAAAGAGAAAAAGAAUUAAUUAAACUAAAUCUAAGCCAUCUUACAUAACAAAAUACCACGAAAUAGCUUGUAUAAGAACUGCUGGGGUCUUUUCUAGAACUUGUUAAUUUGGUCUUUUGGUGAUCACUACUGGCCAACAAACCUACCUAUUACACCAGCGUAGUAUUUGUACUUUGUAGAGGAAAUUCAGAGAGGGCUGAAGAGAAAAACAGUAGAGUAAGUCCUGCCAACUAAAUAAAAUGGCGCCUGUCACAACAUCAAUUUGUGUAAAAUGGCAAAAGAACAUCUAAUAUACAGGCCUGUCAACGAACGUCUAAAUAACAGGGCUCUUCUCGGCUACGUCUGCGCGUAGGUUUACACUUAAAAUACAUGUGUCUAGGAACUCAGAAGAGUUGAGGGUUGAGUUGGAGCUGCCAUUGAUGUUUCUCACAUUUGAGCUCCAGUUCAUGACACACUAAUCGUGCACUUAUUACAAGUGCUGCCUUCGCAUCACCCCUGACAGGACAGAAAAGAGAGGCAUACAUCCUGCUUUGUGGGCCACCUAUAAUUAUGGGUUUGCAUCAAAAGCAAAGAAAAGUCAUGUCAUUGGUCUCAUUUAGAAGCACAACAGGCUCAAAGCCUUUGAGAGUGAAAAGUGUGGCACAGCGUGGGAGAGGAUUUCUGUACAGAAAAUUAUCAAAGCCAUGAUUGUAACAUUUCUAUUCCCAAAUCCGUAUGAGCUCCUCUGAAAAAAAGAACAUGAUGUAGCUAGACCUCCAGGAAAGUUGGUGAUAUCUGUGCCACCGUAGGCUUGUAGAGUUCACUUAGCCUAACAGACGGAAAGAUGCUAAAGUUUGGAAGAAUAAUACUAGCCCAGUGCUGGAAUAGUGUCCAUCUCAUGCCAGACAUGGGACAAAUU